AUGAACGCUGGCGGCGUGCCUAAUACCUGCAAGUCGAGCGAACGGACGAGAAGCUUGCUUCUCUGAUGUUAGCGGCGGACGGGUGAGUAACACGUGGAUAACCUACCUAUAAGACUGGGAUAACUUCGGGAAACCGGAGCUAAUACCGGAUAAUAUUUUGAACCGCCUGGUUCAAAAGUGAAAGACGGUCUUGCUGUCACUUAUAGAUGGAUCCGCGCUGCAUUAGCUAGUUGGUAAGGUAACGGCUUACCAAGGCAACGAUGCAUAGCCGACCUGAGAGGGUGAUCGGCCACACUGGAACUGAGACACGGUCCAGACUCCUACGGGAGGCAGCAGUAGGGAAUCUUCCGCAAUUGGCGAAAGCCUGACGGAGCAACGCCGCGUGAGUGAUGAAGGUCUUCGGAUCGUAAAACUCUGUUAUUAGGGAAGAACAUAUGUGUAAGUAACUGUGCACAUCUUGACGGUACCUAAUCAGAAAGCCACGGCUAACUACGUG
This 496-nucleotide ribosomal RNA is filed under the name uncultured bacterium. Its description in RNAcentral is "partial 16S ribosomal RNA". It matches the Rfam family "Bacterial small subunit ribosomal RNA", at positions 29 to 507 of the family's 1533-position model. The record is from RNAcentral.